Hipposideros armiger (great roundleaf bat) is the source of this 721-nucleotide long non-coding RNA. RefSeq lists it as uncharacterized. The transcript has 3 exons. The record is from RefSeq and is a predicted model, not a curated record. NCBI's taxonomy places the organism in Eukaryota, Metazoa, Chordata, Mammalia, Chiroptera, Hipposideridae.
CCCCUUGCUCAGCAUUUUUCGCCCUUAAACUAGAGCCGUCCAGAGUGCGGCGUCGCCAGGUUUGGAAAUGUGUGUUUCAGCUUACGAGCUUUAUUGAAGCACACUGUCAUGUUAGAAAGCCCCUCGUGGCAAAGAAGGGAGGCCUCCAACCAACAGCCAGUGAAGCACUGAAUCCUGCCAACACCAUGUGGAUAUGAUACUCUGGAACUUCUGAACCUAGGCCUUAAAGAGCUGGUAACUUCUGCUUCCUUUUUCUUGGAAUACUUCUUAUUAGAACCCAAUUACUAUGCUGGGAGAAACCCAAGCCACAUGGAGAAAUCAUAUGGAAUGCAGCCAAGACACUCAAGUUGAUAGCCUUAACUGAGCUUACAUCAACUCCCAGCCAUGUGAGUGAACCAAAGGGCCCAUUUUUUUAUUGGACUUUGAGACAGCCUCUGUGCAUUACAGUUCCCAUUUGUUUCAUACCUGGACACUUGUUCUUUACUUUGGGGUGACCUGGCCCUGUAUCAUGCCUUGACCCACCCAUAAAAUAAACCAUAAGUUCCCACAAGUUAGGACAAGUAGUUAAACCUAUUUGGAAUCCAUUUAUCUCACCUAGUGUGCAUAGGAGAGGAGAACUAGUAAGGAGAAAAUUGGAGCAGUCACCCCACUUUCUGCCAGUUAGAUGCCACCAGCAUUUGGAAAGGAAAGUCAGCAUGCAGUCAUCCACCAAAGGAUAAAU